UGUUAAAAAAAUACAUCAAUUUAUACUAUUAAAAGCUAGUUUGACUAACAUAACAACCAAACAGUUACACAUAAUGUGUUACAUGUACCUCGUUUUCCAUACAAGAACCAAUUUUUAAAAAUACAAUUAAAUGAAAGUUUUAACA
Molecule: microRNA precursor, 145 nt
Filed under: Gossypium arboreum
Lineage: Eukaryota; Viridiplantae; Streptophyta; Magnoliopsida; Malvales; Malvaceae
Description: MIR7502 microRNA precursor family
Rfam family: MIR7502 microRNA precursor family
Source: Rfam by way of RNAcentral